UUCACUCUAAUUAGAGUUCUAUUUAUAACAGAAAAUAUAUUGUAUUUAUCAUUCGUAGUUAUAAGGAAUUUAUGUACCUCUAACUAGGGUAGAGAGGUUAUUUCCAAAUAGAUCCCGGUAUCCCUCCUCCAAGAACUUCCCAACUUAUUUUUGGGAAGACUCGAACUCACAACAUCUCGAUUGGAAGUGCAAGUGGGGAUGCUUACCGUCACACCUAAAGCACAGAACCAGAAAGAAUUAAACGAACGAAGAAAUAAAGAUUGGGCGGCCGUAAAGAGCAAAUUGAAUUUGGGGAAACCUCUUAGCUCUUACAAUCCCGUGAAAGAAUGUCGGUUCGUUUGAUGAAAAAAAUCU
Molecule: long non-coding RNA, 354 nt
Filed under: Nicotiana benthamiana
Lineage: Eukaryota; Viridiplantae; Streptophyta; Magnoliopsida; Solanales; Solanaceae
Description: long non-coding RNA (NBEN_LNC002079)
Source: RNAcentral